This 354-nucleotide ribosomal RNA is filed under the name Bacillus sp. (in: firmicutes). RNAcentral's name for it is "bacterial SSU rRNA". It matches the Rfam family "Bacterial small subunit ribosomal RNA", at positions 567 to 919 of the family's 1533-position model. The record is from RNAcentral. Lineage: Bacteria; Bacillati; Bacillota; Bacilli; Caryophanales; Bacillaceae.
GCGCGCAGGCGGUUUCUUAAGUCUGAUGUGAAAGCCCACGGCUCAACCGUGGAGGGUCAUUGGAAACUGGGGAACUUGAGUGCAGAAGAGAAAAGCGGAAUUCCACGUGUAGCGGUGAAAUGCGUAGAGAUGUGGAGGAACACCAGUGGCGAAGGCGGCUUUUUGGUCUGUAACUGACGCUGAGGCGCGAAAGCGUGGGGAGCAAACAGGAUUAGAUACCCUGGUAGUCCACGCCGUAAACGAUGAGUGCUAAGUGUUAGAGGGUUUCCGCCCUCUAGUGCUGCAGCUAACGCAUUAAGCACUCCGCCUGGGGAGUACGGUCGCAAGACUGAAACUCAAAGGAAUUGACGGGGG